AGAGUCACUGCUUCCCAGGAUAGAGUCCUCCAUCUUUGAAUGCCUAGAAGAGUACAUCUGGUCAUUUAAAAGGCCUCAGAAACACAUAUGUUUUAAAGUUUCCUUAGGUGGAGCUUGGUCCAAUCAUUGAUUUUCUUUGAGUAAGGUGACAACUGGGAAUUCUGGUUAAAGGUUCAAGAUGGCAGAUUGCAGCUGCAUAAUGUGGGGAAUAUUUUGGCUCAUCGUCCUGGUGUUUUUUGGCUGGCCCUUAAGCAUUGCCUUGGGUGGCCUCUAUGGAUUCCUCUCCCCUCUCACUACCUUAAUAGGACUGGAUGACUUCAGUGAAGCACUGCUGAGGGGAGUAAAUUUGGGGAGACAGUGUGCUAAGAAUGUACAAAAUGGCAAGCCCCUUUGCUGAGCAAUAAAGACAGAAUUACAACUGACAAGGAUUUUAUUGUGUACUGCACUGGAUUUCAGAGUUAUUCUAUUAACCUUAAAAUGUUUGCAUUUCAGUACAAAUGUUGUUUGGUUCUUAGAUAAUGUAUAAAUGGCACUUGAUAAUCUCUGAAGGAAACUAUAGCAAUGGUGCUGUUUGUCUUUUAAAACCAUUCUUCCUGUUUCUGCAAUGAGUAAUGACGCUGUCUUUACUUAUUUGUGUACACGAAUUGAAAUGAGAGGGAAGCCAGAACUGAAACUCUAGACCUAAACCUCAAAUUAAUGUUUGGAUUAAUGGCUACGUUAACAGCCACCUCAAAACUUGGGUUCCAAAUUGUGGGCACCCACAUUUGAAAACAUUGUCACCGAGCUCAAAUCAGUCUAAUGGGCCUAAUCAAGAGAUGCCCACAUUUAGAAAGAUGGGAAUCUGCAUUUGAACCCUGUUUAGUGGAAUGUUUGGCUCCUGAAUUUUAUUUGGCCUUGUUAUAAAAUAUGUGAAAGUUAGAUUGGGCGUUCUUGUCAGAUCACUGUUUCAUUUUUGUAUUUAUUCAUCCAUGUAUAUAUUUACAUUGAUGCAUAGCUUAAUUGUUUAUAGUAGUCAUUAGCUUCUUUCCAUUUUACCAUUUUGUUUAAUGCUAAUUUACUAGGCAUAUUUAUGAUGGCAACUUUGUUGGAGAGUUUGCUACACUAAAAUAUUAAUUUCAAGUGUAUUCAUAAAUCAGUUGUCAUAAAUACAGACAUUAAAGUUUCUUUUG
Gopherus evgoodei (Goodes thornscrub tortoise) is the source of this 1169-nucleotide long non-coding RNA. RefSeq lists it as uncharacterized. The transcript is spliced from 4 exons. The record is from RefSeq and is a predicted model, not a curated record. NCBI's taxonomy places the organism in Eukaryota, Metazoa, Chordata, Testudines, Testudinidae.